This 253-nucleotide ribosomal RNA is filed under the name uncultured bacterium. RNAcentral describes it as "partial 16S ribosomal RNA". It matches the Rfam family "Bacterial small subunit ribosomal RNA", at positions 524 to 776 of the family's 1533-position model. The record is from RNAcentral.
UACAGAGACCUCAAGCGUUAUCCGGAUUUAUUGGGCGUAAAGCGUCCGCAGGUUUCUUGGUAAGUCUAAUGUUAAAACUCAGCGCUCAACGUUGAGACUGCGUUGGAUACUGCCGAGAUAGAGAGUGGGAGAGGUAAACGGAAUUGCAAGUGUAGUCGUAAUAAGCGUUGAUAUUUGCAAGAACACCAAAUGCGAAGGCAGUUUACUGGAACACAUCUGACACUCAUGGACGAAAGCGUGGGGAGCAAACAGG